Molecule: RNA transcript, 933 nt
Organism: Pseudopodoces humilis (Tibetan ground-tit)
Lineage: Eukaryota; Metazoa; Chordata; Aves; Passeriformes; Paridae
Source: RefSeq, a predicted model, not a curated record
GAAACUACCAGCUCCUUGCAGAAAGACUGAAACAUGAUGGGCAGAGAAGGGUGUUGGUGUCGACGUUUGAGGAUGCAGUCAAGUCAAUGGAGUUCUGUUGUAGUGGUUGCUUCAGUGAACAUUCAACGCUGUCGGCCUUAACACCGAAGAUAGCAACCUAACCAUCAUAUGAUGUUUCUCCCUCACCCUGCCAAGCUUUAAAAAAAGGUCACAAUCAACAUUCAUUGCUGUCGGUGGGUUUAACUAUGUGGACAAGCUCACUGAACAAUGAAUGCAACUGUGGCCUCACAUUGUACAGUUGCCAUUGAGAGGAGUAGCGGCUCUGAAGGCAAUAGUGAGAAGCAAACACUUCUUUUAAGCUACAGUUUUCUGGUCAGAAAAAUAGUUGGGGGUAUCCAGUUUUUGCUUGUUUGGUUUUGAGUGUGUUUAACUUAGCUGACUGGAAAAGAAAACCCACUGCGUUUUUCUUGGGUAUUGUCCUCACAGGGUUCAGUGCCACUGAAAAUGUGAAAGUUCUUAUUUAGUAUGUGUGCAGAAAAAAUAACAGGAUAGGACACUCAGUAUAUCCACUCCUAAGGCCUCUAACAUAAGAGGAAAGAAUAUUUAGUUGUCAUUUAACUAGGCAUUGUUGAAGAGUUCAAAAGUUUAUUCUAUACUUGUCAUGACAUAUACAGCUGGGAACAAAUGGGAUUUAAGAGUUAUGGAUAAAAAUGUUAUGUCAAAAAAUAUUAAUUAAUUUUACAUUAAACUGAUUUUAAGAACACAAAUACUAUUGCAUUUGCUAUUUUUAGGGAUCUGAAAGAUGACAGAGAAAUGUAUAUCCAGAAAUAAUAAUGGAAAAGCAGUUAAAUUGUAAAGUUGUUGAAUUGUAAACCGAGUACCUAUGUCACGCUCUGAGUUUUGCAAUAAGAAAAUAAAAUGUGAAUACGCUCA